Long non-coding RNA from Cydia strobilella, 479 nucleotides. RefSeq lists it as uncharacterized. The record is from RefSeq and is a predicted model, not a curated record. Lineage: Eukaryota; Metazoa; Arthropoda; Insecta; Lepidoptera; Tortricidae. The transcript has 2 exons.
AGACCCUACACAGAAAAAAAAUAGUUCUCCAGCCAAGUAAAUCCUCUUGUGUCAAGAUAUUUUGUGUUUCCUAUAUAAGGAAACAAUAAAAUUCUUGCGUCAAGAUAUAAAAGGUUUCAAAUUUUAUUAUUUAAGGUAAAAAAAUCAAUACUUUAUCCGAGCUAUAAAAAGUUUUUUUUUUAAAAAGCUCAAUAUUCCCACCAAGAGCGUUUGCGUUUUGUUUUAUGUAUUGUAUUUUUUGAAAUUGAACCUAAUGUCUCAGGGCAAUACUUAAAGAACUUGUGCCAAGAAACUUUGUUUCUUGGGGUUAGAUACUCAUAAUUGAAUUGAGAAUUAUAUUUCUCCAUGAAAACAAGAAAAAGCAUUGGUUCAAGAGUACGUUACUCAAUGUAAAAUAUGAUAUUAUUUAUAUCUAGAGUAGAAAUUUCUUAGCGCAAAGUUUAGUAUGUUUUGAAUAAAGAAUUAAUUUUCUUAAACCA